UACGGAGGGUGCGAGCGUUGUUCGGAAUUAUUGGGCGUAAAGCGCGUGUAGGCGGUUUGUUAAGUCUGAUGUGAAAGCCCCGGGCUCAACCUGGGAAGUGCAUUGGAAACUGGCAGACUUGAGUACGGGAGAGGAGAGUGGAAUUCCCAGUGUAGGAGUGAAAUCCGUAGAUAUUGGGAGGAACACCGGUGGCGAAGGCGGCUCUCUGGACCGAUACUGACGCUGAGACGCGAAAGCGUGGGUAGCAAACAGG
This 253-nucleotide ribosomal RNA is filed under the name uncultured bacterium. RNAcentral's name for it is "partial 16S ribosomal RNA". It matches the Rfam family "Bacterial small subunit ribosomal RNA", at positions 524 to 776 of the family's 1533-position model. RNAcentral also lists the same sequence under 1 other name. The record is from RNAcentral.